GAUGAAGAACGUAGCGAAAUGCGAUACGUAAUGUGAAUUGCAGAAUUCAGUGAAUCAUCGAAUCUUUGAACGCAUAUUGCGCUCUCUGGUAUUCCGGAGAGCGUGCUUGUUUGAGUAUCAGUAAACACCUCAACUUCCAUAUCUUUUUUGAAAUGGGAGUUGGACUUGAGUGAUCCCAACGCUUUUCCUCACCGAAAAGUGGCGGGUUACUUGAAAUGCAGGUGCAGCUGGACUUUUCUCUGAGCUAUAAGCAUAUCUAUUUAGUCUGCCUAAAAACAGAUUAUUACCUUUGCUGCAGCUAACAUAAAGGAGAUUAGUUCUUGUGCUGACUGAUGCAGGAUUCACAAAGACAGGCUUCGGCCGACUUUGUAAACUCGAUCUCAAAUCAAGUAAGACUACCCGCUGAACUUAAGCAUAUCAAUAAGCGGAGGA
RNAcentral lists this unclassified non-coding RNA (432 nucleotides) under soil metagenome. RNAcentral describes it as "partial contains 5.8S ribosomal RNA, internal transcribed spacer 2, and large subunit ribosomal RNA". The stretch from base 1 to 120 matches the Rfam family "5.8S ribosomal RNA", at positions 35 to 154 of the family's 154-position model. The record is from RNAcentral.